GAUGAACGCUGGCGGCGUGCCUAAUACAUGCAAGUCGAGCGAACGGACGAGAAGCCUGCUUCUCUGAUGUUAGCGGCGGACGGGUGAGUAACACGUGGAUAACCUACCUAUAAGACUGGGAUAACUUCGGGAAACCGGAGCUAAUACCGGAUAAUAUUUUGAACCGCAUGGUUCAAAAGUGAAAGACGGUCUUGCUGUCACUUAUAGAUGGAUCCGCGCUGCAUUAGCUAGUUGGUAAGGUAACGGCUUACCAAGGCAACGAUGCAUAGCCGACCUGAGAGGGUGAUCGGCCACACUGGAACUGAGACACGGUCCAGACUCCUACGGGAGGCAGCAGUAGGGAAUCUUCCGCAAUGGGCGAAAGCCUGACGGAGCAACGCCGCGUGAGUGAUAAAGGUCUUCGGAUCGUAAAACUCUGUUAUUAGGGAAGAACAUAUGUGUAAGUAACUGUGCACAUCUUGACGGUACCUAAUCAGAAAGCCACGGCUAACUACGUG
Molecule: ribosomal RNA, 497 nt
Filed under: uncultured bacterium
Lineage: Bacteria
Description: partial 16S ribosomal RNA
Rfam family: Bacterial small subunit ribosomal RNA
Source: RNAcentral